This 398-nucleotide ribosomal RNA is filed under the name uncultured bacterium. Its description in RNAcentral is "partial 16S ribosomal RNA". It matches the Rfam family "Bacterial small subunit ribosomal RNA", at positions 523 to 918 of the family's 1533-position model. The record is from RNAcentral.
AUACGUAGGGGGCGAGCGUUGUCCGGAAUGAUUGGGCGUAAAGAGCUCGUAGGUGGUUUGUCGCGUCGUCUGUGGAAUUCCGGGGCUUAACUCCGGGCGUGCAGGCGAUACGGGCAUAACUUGAGUACUGUAGGGGAGACUGGAAUUCCUGGUGUAGCGGUGAAAUGCGCAGAUAUCAGGAGGAACACCGGUGGCGAAGGCGGGUCUCUGGGCAGUAACUGACGCUGAGGAGCGAAAGCAGGGGUAGCGAACAGGAUUAGAUCCCCUGGUAGUCCAUGCCGUAAACGGUGGGCGCUAGGUGUAGGGGUCUUCCACGACUUCUGUGCCGUAGCUAACGCAUUAAGCGCCCCGCCUGGGGAGUACGGCCGCAAGGCUAAAACUCAAAGGAAUUGACGGGG